RNAcentral lists this ribosomal RNA (465 nucleotides) under uncultured bacterium. RNAcentral describes it as "partial 16S ribosomal RNA". It matches the Rfam family "Bacterial small subunit ribosomal RNA", at positions 339 to 795 of the family's 1533-position model. The record is from RNAcentral.
CUACGGGAGGCAGCAGUGAGGAAUUUUGCGCAAUGGGGGAAACCCUGACGCAGCAACGCCGCGUGAGUGAUGAAGGCCUUCGGGUCGUAAAGCUCUGUCGAGUGGGAAGAACAUAUCUAUAUUGAAUAAAUAUUGAUACUGACGGUACCACAAGAGGAAGCACCGGCUAACUCCGUGCCAGCAGCCGCGGUAAUACGGGGGGUGCAAGCGUUAUUCGGAAUCAUUGGGCGUAAAGGGCGCGCAGGCGGCCUUGUAAGUCAGAUGUGAAAGCCCGGGGCUCAACCCCGGAAGUGCAUUUGAAACUAUGAGGCCUGAGUAUGGGAGAGGGAAGUGGAAUUCCUGGUGUAGCGGUGAAAUGCGUAGAUAUCAGGAGGAACACCGGUGGCGAAGGCGACUUCCUGGACCAAUACUGACGCUGAGGCGCGAAGGCGUGGGGAGCAAACAGGAUUAGAUACCCGCGUAGUC